GUUCUUGCUUGCUUUUUCCCAAGUGUUGUAGAUGUGAACAGGUCUCAAAAUUAGGCGUGCAUCCGAAGGGUUGCUGUGAACACUCCUUAUUUCAUAGUAUUGCAUUCUUCCAUGGAGCUAGAGAAUCAGGUAAGAGAAAAAAGUGAAUGUGGUUAUGGAAGGAGGGAAGAAAAGAAAGAGAAAGGAAAGGAAGGGAGAAAAAGAUGAAAAGAAAGGAAGUGAGGGAAGAACUGGGGGGAGAAGGAAGUAAAGGAAUGAAAAGAGGAGGAAAAAAGAAAGGAGGGAGAAAGAGAGAGGAGAGAGAGGCCCGUUGUUGUCAAACCCUGGCUGGUUUACACUGAGGAGCCAGAUAGCCUCUCAGUGAAAAGCUGAGAUUAAGCUCACAACAUAAUUUCCAUUAUGUUAAUGUUGCUUUAAAAUAUAUUGCACAGAGUGCUGCAACAAUCAAAUUAUCAAUUAUAAUGUCUACUCAGAGUAGAAAAGUGUUACAAACAGAGGGCUGAUUACUGCUUCAGUACAUCCAAUCUGCAUACUCAUUGUUCAGUACAGGGAAAACAAAUUAUCUUGUGUUGGCCCCAGUUCAAAUUUAAUUAAAUGAGUGCAAAGCAAUUAUAAUAAAGUACAAUAGUGUAGUAAUGAAAGGAAAAUAACUCAUUAACCUAUUAAUCUUUAUUUAUGUUCCUCUCAAAUAACUAUGUAAUUUCUUUAUCACCGCAUCCCAUAAGAAAAAGUAGGGUCUCACUGCUCGUGGCCUGGUUUAAAAGGUUCUAUUUGGUUAAGAUGCCUUCACGGCCACCAUUAUAUCAACUUCCCUUAGCUCAGGGCCACCCCCAAUCUCCCGUCAUGCUCUCUACUUGAACAUGGUCUGGAUUUAGCAUUCCUCUCUCACACAUCUCUGACGCUUGUCAUUUGGGCAAGGUAGAUCUCUCUGGAAGCCUAGAUGGGCAGACGCAUCCUCCGACAUCUGUUGAGCAAAGGAAGAGAGAAAAGAGAAUCACUGUGGUUUAGAGAAAGUCCAGGCUUUAAAGUCUGAAGAGGUAUCAGCAAGAGCUAAGAACACCCCAGCAAACACACCAUGGGUCACCUGUUAUGCAGAUGAAGAAGUGGAGUUUUGGAAGACAAAAGUGUUUCGCCUAAGCCUUGCCAUUUACAAGGAGCUGAUCAAGGAUUCUAAUUCAGGUCUACACUGCUUAAAUCCUCAUUUCAAUCCUUCAGAACCUCUCUGUUCAAAGGGUGGGCCACCACUGACUGACAGCUUUGGCAUCUCUUGGAAGCUCAGUUGGUAGAGCCUCAAUCCAGACCAGCAGAAACAGAAAGUGCAUUUGACAGGAUACUCUGGGGAUUUAUUAGCGUGAUGAAGAUUUCAAAGUGCUGGGUGCCACACUGCCUCUCCUGGAGAUAGCAGAGCUCAGACAAGGCUCAGGGGUGGGGACUCUUUCCAGACUCCUCAUACCAAGUAAGAGCUCAACAUUUCCUUACAACUCACAGCAACUUGAGGUGACCUUGGGAUAAUCUGGGGUCAUUAGGCUUGACUCUGGCUGCUAUUUACAUAUCAUUUGAGGUCAGCCCUGCACCUAAUUCCUAAACCUUCACAUUUUCCUACAAGAACUUGGAAAAGAGGGAAGGGGAAAACAUGAAACCCUGAUGAAUGGAAGAAGGAAACAGGUAUUUGUAAAGUUUCUCCUUUGUUCCUAGAGACCAUCCAUGUAUUACUUCAUUUAAUCUCCAUGACAAACACCCUUUUAAGAUAAGGUGACCAACAAGAAGUUUAAGAGUUAUGUCCAGUGUUGCCUACACCUGGUAAGUGACAGAGGUGAGCUUUGCUUGUCUUUAAUGUUUACACAUCUACCAAAUAGCAUUCUCUAAAAAGAAAGGACAGAGAGACCAGGAAAGGCAGGCAAGAUGAAGUGAAAAAAAAGGUAGUGUGACAAUCGUUAGUGCUGUUCAUCCUCCAUUUCCUACUCUUUGAAACACCUUGAGAAUUAUACUUCCUGUCCCCCUUGAAAGUAGGAGGGGACCCUGUGCAUAGCUUUGGUCAAUGACUUGCCAGCAGAUGUUUCAUGGUUUGUUUCAAGUCAGACACUUAAUUGCUUGUGGCUUCUCUACACAGUGUUCUUCUCUCUGCUGUGGUGCUUGGCAAUAUUCAAGAUGGUGGCUGUGCCAUCAGCCUGGUUCCCAGAGUGAGUGAGUGUGCUGACCUCACAUCAACCUGUGGUGAACACAUGAUGAGAGUGACCAAAAAAAACCCAAAAAAACUUUGCUUUUUUGAGCCACUGAAGUUUGAGAUUGUUACUGUAGCAUAACGGAGCCUAUCCUGACUCUACAGAAAAAGAGGGGGAAAAAAAUGAAAAUAUUUAACACUUGUACGUGUAUCUUUUUUUCACUUGAGACUAAGAGCGUUUCUGUGAGAGAGGAAUUAUUCCACAUUAUAUGGACUGAAUGUUUACUAUUUGUUUUAUAGGCAAUUUAACAAAGACACACAAGUGUAAGCGUCCUGCCUGACCAAAGUGGCAAAGUUUGUAAGUGGCAGGGCCAGGUUUGGAAUGCAGGUCUCCUGAUGACUAAUCUUUCCUCAACCCAGAACACUUCCUCCAUGAUGAGACUGGAGCCCUGUUCCCCUGUCCAACACAAGCCUCAGGUUGGUGUAUCUAGCUUUGGGCUAACCCCUCCUUCCCCUCCCCACUCAGGAGGGAUCCAAAUUAUUGGACAAAUAUCAGGUCAAGGGAAAACAGGUCCAUGUAACUGCCAAGAGAUGAGUCCAUCUGAUUUACGCUGGGGGCAGAAACCAGCGAACAAAGUCCAGGAUGAUAUUACUGUGGCCAACUGCAAGG
RNAcentral lists this long non-coding RNA (2831 nucleotides) under Marmota monax (woodchuck). Lineage: Eukaryota; Metazoa; Chordata; Mammalia; Rodentia; Sciuridae. The record is from RNAcentral.